Molecule: ribosomal RNA, 502 nt
Filed under: uncultured bacterium
Lineage: Bacteria
Description: bacterial SSU rRNA
Rfam family: Bacterial small subunit ribosomal RNA
Source: RNAcentral
GAUGAACGCUAGCGGCAGGCUUAAUACAUGCAAGUCGUGGGGCAGCAGGUUUGUUGCAAUACAGAUGCUGGCGACCGGCAAACGGGUGCGGAACACGUACAGAACCUUCCUUGAGCGGGGGAUAGCCCAGAGAAAUUUGGAUUAAUACCCCAUAGUAUAAUGAAGUGGCAUCACUUUAUUAUUAAAGAUUUAUCACUCGAAGAUGGCUGUGCGGCUGAUUAGGUAGUUGGCGGGGUAAAGGCCCACCAAGCCUGCGAUCAGUAACUGGUGUGAGAGCACGACCAGUCACACGGGCACUGAGACACGGGCCCGACUCCUACGGGAGGCAGCAGUAAGGAAUAUUGGUCAAUGGAGGCAACUCUGAACCAGCCAUGCCGCGUGGAGGAUGAAGGUCCUCUGGAUUGUAAACUUCUUUAUAUGGGACGAAAAAAGGCUUUUCUAAGUCGUCUGACGGUACCAUAUGAAUAAGCACCGGCUAACUCCGUGCCAGCAGUCGCGGUAA